RNAcentral lists this ribosomal RNA (501 nucleotides) under uncultured bacterium. RNAcentral's name for it is "bacterial SSU rRNA". It matches the Rfam family "Bacterial small subunit ribosomal RNA", at positions 35 to 524 of the family's 1533-position model. The record is from RNAcentral.
GCUGGCGGUAGGCUACACAUGCNAGUCGAACGGCAGCACAGUAAGAGACUUGCUCUUAUGGGUGGCGAGUGGCGGACGGGUGAGGAAUACAUCGGAAUCUACUUUUUCGUGGGGGAUAACGUAGGGAAACUUACGCUAAUACCGCAUACGACCUUCGGGUGAAAGCAGGGGACCUUCGGGCCUUGCGCGAUUGAAUGAGCCGAUGUCGGAUUAGCUAGUUGGCGGGGUAAAGGCCCACCAAGGCGACGAUCCGUAGCUGGUCUGAGAGGAUGAUCAGCCACACUGGAACUGAGACACGGUCCAGACACCUACGGGAGGCAGCAGUGGGGAAUAUUGGACAAUGGGCGCAAGCCUGAUCCAGCCAUACCGCGUGGGUGAAGAAGGCCUUCGGGUUGUAAAGCCCUUUUGUUGGGAAAGAAAAGCAGCAGGCUAAUACCCCGCUGUUCUGACGGUACCCAAAGAAUAAGCACCGGCUAACUUCGUGCCAGCAGCCGCGGUAAU